This 535-nucleotide long non-coding RNA is filed under the name Nicotiana benthamiana. RNAcentral describes it as "long non-coding RNA (NBEN_LNC014392)". Lineage: Eukaryota; Viridiplantae; Streptophyta; Magnoliopsida; Solanales; Solanaceae. The record is from RNAcentral.
UUUUUAAAUUCACUAUUCUCAUGUUUGGUCUGGCUAACUCAAAACUCAGUUUGGAACUGCCAUCUUUCUAACCCCAGAAGUUUUAUAUGCUUUUCGUGGAAAUAAAAUUUUGUUGGUAGAUUUACCUCUAGUUAUUACAACUUGUGUGUCCUAGCUUGCAUCUUUGAACCUGUGAAAUGUUUUGCCUGCAAUCUGGGCCCCGGCCCUGAAAGUCAUGUGUUCCCCCACCCCGCCCCCCUCCUUUUUUCUUUUGCCCCUCUGGUUCCUCAGAUUGGUGGCACCUUAGGUUAUAUUGAGGUACUAACAACCCAGUCAAUUGAUCCAUGUGAAGAGGUGCAGUGGAAUUCCAACUAGUUGUCAAAGCCAUCUCAACUUUGUUCCACUUCAGCUCAGUCAAAUGUCACAUGGUCUUCAGUUCGUGAUGAGAGCAGCAAUAUUGAGUGCCUCCUUACUCAACUUGGGACCUUGAGGAGAUGGGAAUGAGCAAGUUCUCUUCCUAUGCAUAAUUGCAGUUUACCGAAGUUUCACUAUUCUC